GUGCUCGCUUCGGCAGCACAUAUAAUAAAAUUGGAACGAUAAAGAGAUUGGCAUGGCCUCUGCACGAGGAUGACAUGCAAAUUUGUGAAGUGUCCCACAUUUUU
This 104-nucleotide small nuclear RNA is filed under the name Moschus moschiferus (Siberian musk deer). The record is from RNAcentral. Lineage: Eukaryota; Metazoa; Chordata; Mammalia; Artiodactyla; Moschidae.